Molecule: non-coding RNA, 78 nt
Filed under: Kutzneria viridogrisea DSM 43870
Lineage: Bacteria; Bacillati; Actinomycetota; Actinomycetes; Pseudonocardiales; Pseudonocardiaceae
Description: Kutzneria albida DSM 43870 SAH (S-adenosyl-L-homocysteine) riboswitch aptamer
Rfam family: SAH (S-adenosyl-L-homocysteine) riboswitch aptamer
Source: Rfam by way of RNAcentral
AGACCCGAGAGGCGCUGCGACGGACCACAUGUCCGCCACGCUCGGGUCUGCGUUCACCACUCAAGGGCGCCUCCCACA